Long non-coding RNA from Cyprinus carpio carpio, 1491 nucleotides. The record is from Ensembl. NCBI's taxonomy places the organism in Eukaryota, Metazoa, Chordata, Actinopteri, Cypriniformes, Cyprinidae.
AGAAAACAUUAUUGGGUGGGAGUUACGCGUAUUCUGCACAGUUCAUGACAACGCCAACAAUAUGAACUUGGCCAUGGAAAUCUGUGAGGCCUGCCCCGCCACAUUGGUUGCAGCGGACACACAUUACAGCUUGCAGUUAAGGCAGGUUUGGAUUUACCUGUGGUCUCGAAGACCAUUGAUGCUGUGAGGCGUCGUCAGUCACUUCCUUCACUCUUCAGUGGCGACCUGCGCCUUGAUAGCACGUCAGGAGCAACUAUCCAUCAGAGGGAGAAAACUUCAAAGUGACUGUGCUAGAUGGAAUUCCACGUUCGAUAUGUUGGAUGGCUUUUACGAGUGCAAACUGUACUCGCUGACGAAACGGUAACUAAUCGAAAAACUCUGGGUAUAAAGUCUGAUCUGAUUGAACAGCUGCUUCCCAUACUGAGGCCGCUAGCAAAGGCGACAACAGUCGUGUGGAGAGCUACACGUCGGCCUGUCCUUUCUAUAUUCAGUGCUUCUUAAUCUGACAGAAAACACUCUGCGCCCAGCGUGGGUGAUCUCACAGCCACUCAGGCGUUCAAAAAGAUGGUUCGGAAACAGUUGUUAAUGUGGUGUAAACUGGAUUCUGAAGCCGUAGCCAAUUCUCUCCCUAUUAGCGCAUGCAUGUUGGAUUCACGGUUUAAGCAUUUGCUGUUUCUACCAGAGAAAGCCAGAGAGGAUGCCAAAGCCCAUCUUGCCGAUUUAGUGUACGACAACGAGACAAAGCAUUCAGAAACUUCAGGUGAACAGGAAGUUGCCGACUGCAAUGUGACAACCAAUGCAUUGCCCAGUGAGCAUAAAAAACCAAGACUCAAGGCUGAUCUCGAGGAGCUCUUUGGAUGUAACUACAAAAGCUGCAAUCCUACGACAAAGCAGCCAACUACCAAGGAAGAUGAGAUUCAAGAUUAUUUUCAGAUGCCUGACAUUCCCACCAUGGGGAAUCCUCUCAAAUGGUGGGCAUGUAAUGAACACUGGUUUCCUCGAUUAUCCAAGCUGGCUAUAUCAUAUCUAGCUGUCCCUGUCACCAGUACACCAAGUGAAAGAAUUUUUUCCUUGGCCGGCAACACCGUCAUAAGGCAAAGAUCAAGGCUGCAUCCCUCUCACGUCGAUGCGCUUAUAUUUCUGAAUGCAAACCAGCGAUCCAUGAGCUCGACCAAAGACUGUGUGUGAAGAGAGGAUAAUAGUGGUGAUGACUUAUGUUAGUCUAUAAUAUAAACUUUCAAGCCAGUUGCAGUAAGAUUCUAUUCGGUCUUGUUAUUACUAUGGGACAGUCUCAAGCCUCCAGGUUUUCAUCCAAAAUAUCUUAAAUUGUGUUCCGAAAACUAACAGACUUUUACGGGUUUGGAACGACAUGGGGGUAAAAUGAUUAAUGACAAAAUUUUCAUUUUAGGAUGGAGUAUACCUUUAAUAAACCAACUCCAGCUGGUCCAAAAUGCAGCAGCUAGAAUUCUUUCUAGAACCAGUGAGUACAAC